Molecule: microRNA precursor, 96 nt
Organism: Astatotilapia calliptera (eastern happy)
Lineage: Eukaryota; Metazoa; Chordata; Actinopteri; Cichliformes; Cichlidae
Source: Ensembl
UCCAGUGUUCCGCAGGUUGAGGUAGUAGGUUGUAUAGUUCAGAGUGACACCACAGGAGAUAACUGUACAGCCUCCUAGCUUUCCCUGAGGAAACAC